Molecule: RNA transcript, 2087 nt
Organism: Cucumis melo (muskmelon)
Lineage: Eukaryota; Viridiplantae; Streptophyta; Magnoliopsida; Cucurbitales; Cucurbitaceae
Gene name: phosphatidylinositol 4-phosphate 5-kinase 10
Exons: 11
Source: RefSeq, a predicted model, not a curated record
AAUGAGAAAUCCGAGUGAGGAAUAGGGAGAGGAGUAGCUAAGAAUGUACUUUAAAGGGGAGGGGGACAAAGGAGGCACCUUGGCAAUGGAGAUUUGAUUUAGUGUAAGGUUCCCUAAAAUAGGAGAGUUGGUUAGAAAAUGCCACAACAAAAUGUGGCGCCAAAAACUGUAUUUUCCCCUGCAAUUCAAUCGCCUCUAACCUCCAUUUCUGACACACCCUUCAUUCAUUCCAUUCCCAAUUCCCCUCGAUCUAACCCUUCUAACCAUUUCAACAAAAACCAACAUUAUUCCUCUCUCUCGCUCAUUUUCUUCUUUUAUCUCUUCCUUCCCUUCCAUGGCACCCUUAUUUUCUCCAUCCAUCAACCCAUUCUUCUUCUGACAAAGGUAAAGUUGUAAUCAAGCUGGGAAUUCAACGAUUACUGGAUUACGCAAGGGAAUUUGGGCAUUGAUCCGUGCAGGGUCGUUAAUGGCAAUGGGGAGAGGGGAACUCUCACCACAGGACUUCAAAGCCACUAAAAAUAAUUGGAUUCAAUAUACAAAGAAGAACAAUAUACGACUUCCUCAAGGCUCAUAUACUGACUUCGAGUGGAAAGACUAUUGUCCUGCAGUGUUCAGAAACAUACUAGAGCUAGAAAAAAUAGACUAUGCUGACUAUAUGUUGUCUGUUUGUGGUGAUGAGACCCUAAGAGAGGUUUCUUCGCCGGGAAGAAUUGGCAAUGUGAUAUUUCUGUCAAAUGACGACCGAUUCGUGAUUAAAACUCUGCGAAAAUCUGAAGUGAAGGUUCUCAGGGAGAUGCUUCCAAAGUACUAUCGACAUCUUAAAAAACAUGGGUUUUCUUUGUUGACUACGUUAUAUGGACUUCACGUAGUGAGGCCAAUUGGAGGUAUUAAGGUUUAUUUUGCAGUCAUGUCAAAUGUAUUGCAAUCAGAUUUGCACUUGCAUAGGCGAUAUGAUCUCAAAGGGUCGUCAAGAGGUCGAAAUUUCAAUAAAGUGAUAGUCCAUGAGGAGAUAGUAUAUAAGGAUAUAGAUCUUGAUUUCUAUUUUUACCUGGAACCAUCACUCCGUAACAAGAUAUUGUCGCAACUCAAGUAUGAUUGCGAGUUUUUGGAGGCUGAGGGCAUCAUGGACUACAGUCUUUUGCUUGGUGUACAUAUAGAUGCCUCCUCGCGUCAAGGGUUCCAUUCAGGCUUAUUAGACAGGAGAAACUCUGUUUCAGGAACGAGGACCGGUCCAGUUCAUGAUAAUGCAGACUUGACUGUCGCUGACAUUCUUAAACAUAAUGGCAGGUUUGGUGCAAAGCUUCCUGCUAGUGCAGUCAGGACGCCAAGGAACGAAAUGGGGAUUGUUUCAUCACCAAGCAGGGUCAGGGUGCCAGAGUGCUACAAUGUAUUGCUAUACUUUGGAAUAAUAGACAUUUUCCAGAACUAUAAUGUUAUAAAGCGGCUCGAGCAUGCUUACAAAUCGAUACAGUAUGAUUCAAAGUCAAUCUCAGCCGUGAAUCCCAAAGUGUAUUCUUCUCGCUUCCAGGAUUUUCUUGCCAAAGUAUUUCUAGCAAGAGAAUCAAAUAAAAACUGGAAUUUUGAGUAUUGAUCCAUAUCAAGUCAAGUCAACCCAGUGGGGGAGAAAUCAACAAUAAGUUAUGUUUGUUCCUUACCCACAUCAUGAUUUGCAAGUCAUAAUGUAUAGGAAGGCAUCGAGGGUCAGUUAGGAGAAGAGAUUGUUAGCAGAGACAAAUACAUUGCAGCUGAAUAUGAUAAAGUUGGAGCUCCAUUGUUUCAGGAAGACUCAGAGAGGUUGAUGUGAAGAUUGUCAUGAAAGAGGCUUUACGGUUAGCUCUUUUUGGUGGAGGUGCGAUGAUACCGUCACACCAAUGGAUGGAGUCAUGGAGAUGGUAACUUCAUUGGGCAAAGAUUCAAGCUUUGUUUUGGUUACUGGAUAGCAAGUUUUCCUCACUUGAUCUAUUGGCUUGACGAAGAUGAUGCAAAUAUUUUAUUUCUAGCCAACUCUAUUGUAUAUAGAUAGUAGCAUAUGUACCAUGAAAAGAUCUUUUCUAAUAUGAAAAUUAUGAACUCAACAAUUAAAUUUC